CAAACCAAAGCUGGCGACCGGCGCACGGGUGAGUAACACGUAUCCAACCUGCCUCAUACUCGGGGAUAGCCUUUCGAAAGAAAGAUUAAUAUCCGAUAGCAUAUAUUUCCCGCAUGGGUUUUAUAUUAAAGAAAUUCGGUAUGAGAUGGGGAUGCGUUCCAUUAGUUUGUUGGGGGGGUAACGGCUCACCAAACCUUCGAUGGAUAGGGGUUCUGAGAGGAAGGUCCCCCACAUUGGAACUGAGACACGGUCCAA
Molecule: ribosomal RNA, 255 nt
Filed under: uncultured bacterium
Lineage: Bacteria
Description: partial 16S ribosomal RNA
Rfam family: Bacterial small subunit ribosomal RNA
Source: RNAcentral